Molecule: non-coding RNA, 75 nt
Organism: Myotis brandtii (Brandt's bat)
Lineage: Eukaryota; Metazoa; Chordata; Mammalia; Chiroptera; Vespertilionidae
Source: Rfam
GGCAGUUCUCAGGUGAAGCACCCUGGAAUCGGGUUCCCUUCUCUCUGGUCUGGAGUGCGUCACCCGAGAACUGCC